CCUACGGGUGGCAGCAGUGAGGAAUAUUGGUCAAUGGACGAGAGUCUGAACCAGCCAAGUAGCGUGAAGGAUGACUGCCCUAUGGGUUGUAAACUUCUUUUAUAAAGGAAUAAAACGAGGCACGUGUGCCUUUUUGCAUGUACUUUAUGAAUAAGGAUCGGCUAACUCCGUGCCAGCAGCCGCGGUAAUACGGAGGAUCCGAGCGUUAUCCGGAUUUAUUGGGUUUAAAGGGAGCGUAGAUGGGUUGUUAAGUCAGUUGUGAAAGGUUGCGGCUCAACCGUAAAAUUGCAAUUGAUACUGGCAGUCUUGAGUACAGUUGAGGUAAGCGGAAUUCGUGGUGUAGCGGUGAAAUGCUUAGAUAUCACGAAGAACCCCGAUUGCGAAGGCAGCUUACUAAACUGUGACUGACGUUGAUGCUCGAAAGUGUGGGUAUCAAACAGGAUUAGAUACCCGGGUAGUC
RNAcentral lists this ribosomal RNA (460 nucleotides) under uncultured bacterium. Its description in RNAcentral is "partial 16S ribosomal RNA". It matches the Rfam family "Bacterial small subunit ribosomal RNA", at positions 338 to 795 of the family's 1533-position model. The record is from RNAcentral.